UACAGAGGGGGCGAGCGUUGUUCGGAAUUACUGGGCGUAAAGGGCGCGUAGGCGGCCCGCUAAGUCGAACGUGAAAUCCCCAGGCUCAACCUGGGAACUGCGUCCGAUACUGGCAGGCUUGAAUCCGGGAGAGGGAUGUGGAAUUCCAGGUGUAGCGGUGAAAUGCGUAGAUAUCUGGAGGAACACCGGUGGCGAAGGCGGCAUCCUGGACCAACACUGACGCUGAGUGAGCGAAAGCCAGGGGAGCAAACGGG
This 254-nucleotide ribosomal RNA is filed under the name uncultured bacterium. RNAcentral's name for it is "partial 16S ribosomal RNA". It matches the Rfam family "Bacterial small subunit ribosomal RNA", at positions 524 to 776 of the family's 1533-position model. The record is from RNAcentral.